UUAGGGACCUCAUAUGCAAUUUGUCCAAUUUUUGAGUUGAGCAAUACUACAUUUACAACCCCAUCACGAAUGUAUAUCCUUCACUCCACCCAUUAAUUAGAUGGGGUGUUAACUACCAGUCACAUAAUGUGACUAAUGUGAUUGGUGCACACACCCCACCCAUUGGAUGGGUGGGGUAUAAUUUGUACACCCUGAUGCGUGUACAAGAAGUUUUUUUCUUUU
Molecule: long non-coding RNA, 222 nt
Filed under: Ananas comosus (pineapple)
Lineage: Eukaryota; Viridiplantae; Streptophyta; Magnoliopsida; Poales; Bromeliaceae
Description: long non-coding RNA (ACOM_LNC015324)
Source: RNAcentral